This 253-nucleotide ribosomal RNA is filed under the name uncultured bacterium. RNAcentral describes it as "partial 16S ribosomal RNA". It matches the Rfam family "Bacterial small subunit ribosomal RNA", at positions 524 to 776 of the family's 1533-position model. The record is from RNAcentral.
UACGUAGGGGGCGAGCGUUGUUCGGAAUUACUGGGCGUAAAGCGCGCGCAGGCGGCUAUCCAAGUCAGUGGUGAAAGCCCGGAGCUCAACUCCGGAACUGCCAUUGAAACUGUUUAGCUUGAGGACGAGAGAGGUGAGUGGAAUUCCCAGUGUAGAGGUGAAAUUCGUAGAUAUUGGGAAGAACACCGGUGGCGAAGGCGGCUCACUGGCUCGUUUCUGACGCUCAGGCGCGACAGCGUGGGGAUCAAACAGG